Molecule: ribosomal RNA, 301 nt
Filed under: uncultured bacterium
Lineage: Bacteria
Description: partial 16S ribosomal RNA
Rfam family: Bacterial small subunit ribosomal RNA
Source: RNAcentral
CAGUCGCCACGGGAAUACGGAGGGGGCUAGCGUUAUUCGGAAUUACUGGGCGUAAAGCGCACGUAGGCGGAUCAGAAAGUCAGAGGUGAAAUCCCAGGGCUCAACCUUGGAACUGCCUUUGAAACUCCUGAUCUUGAGGUCGAGAGAGGUGAGUGGAAUUCCGAGUGUAGAGGUGAAAUUCGUAGAUAUUCGGAGGAACACCAGUGGCGAAGGCGGCUCACUGGCUCGAUACUGACGCUGAGGUGCGAAAGCGUGGGGAGCAAACAGGAUUAGAUACCCGCGUAGUCCCUGUCUCUUAUAC